AUCCAGCUGACGAGUCACAAAUGAGACGAAACGCUCAUCAUGGAU
This 45-nucleotide non-coding RNA is filed under the name Schistosoma mansoni. The record is from RNAcentral. Lineage: Eukaryota; Metazoa; Platyhelminthes; Trematoda; Strigeidida; Schistosomatidae.